Molecule: ribosomal RNA, 504 nt
Filed under: uncultured bacterium
Lineage: Bacteria
Description: bacterial SSU rRNA
Rfam family: Bacterial small subunit ribosomal RNA
Source: RNAcentral
AGUGAACGCUGGCGGCAGGCCUAAUACAUGCAAGUCGAACGGCAGCACAGCAGAGCUUGCUCUGUGGGUGGCGAGUGGCGGACGGGUGAGGAAUACAUGGGAAUCUACCCAGUCGUGGGGGAUAACGUAGGGAAACUUACGCUAAUACCGCAUGCGCCCUUCGGGGAAAGCCGGGGACCUUCGGGCCUGGCGCGAUUGGAUGAGCCCAUGUCGGAUUAGCUAGUUGGCGGGGUAAUGGCCCACCAAGGCGACGAUCCGUAGCUGGUCUGAGAGGAUGAUCAGCCACACUGGAACUGAGACACGGUCCAGACUCCUACGGGAGGCAGCAGUAGGGAAUAUUGGACAAUGGGCGCAAGCCUGAUCCAGCCAUGCCGCGUGAGUGAAGAAGGCCCUCGGGUUGUAAAGCUCUUUGUCCGGAAAGAAAGCGCCGGGUUAAUACCCUAGUGUCCUGACGGUACCGAAGAAUAAGCACCGGCUAACUUCGUGCCUAGCAGCCGCGGUAAU